This 253-nucleotide ribosomal RNA is filed under the name uncultured bacterium. RNAcentral describes it as "partial 16S ribosomal RNA". It matches the Rfam family "Bacterial small subunit ribosomal RNA", at positions 524 to 776 of the family's 1533-position model. The record is from RNAcentral.
UACGAAGGGGGCUAGCGUUGCUCGGAAUUACUGGGCGUAAAGGGCUCGUAGGCGGCCAACUAAGUCGGACGUGAAAUCCCUCAGCUUAACUGGGGAACUGCGUCCGAUACUGGAUGGCUUGGAUUUGGGAGAGGGAUGCGGAAUUCCAGGUGUAGCGGUGAAAUGCGCAGAUAUCAGGAGGAACACCGGUGGCGAAGGCGGUUCUCUGGGCAUUACCUGACGCUGAGGAGCGAAAGUGUGGGGAGCGAACAGG